This 512-nucleotide ribosomal RNA is filed under the name Dacus rutilus. RNAcentral's name for it is "partial 16S ribosomal RNA". The stretch from base 388 to 512 matches the Rfam family "Bacterial large subunit ribosomal RNA", at positions 2473 to 2597 of the family's 2925-position model. Lineage: Eukaryota; Metazoa; Arthropoda; Insecta; Diptera; Tephritidae. The record is from RNAcentral.
GUCUUUUUGAGUUAUUUUUAAAGUCUGACCUGCCCACUGAAUUUUUGAAUGGCCGCAGUAUUUUAACUGUGCAAAGGUAGCAUAAUCAUUAGUCUUUUAAUUGAAGGCUGGUAUGAACGGUUGGACGAGGUAUAAGCUGUUUCAUGUAUAUUUACAUUAGAAUUUUAUUUUUUAGUUAAAAAGCUAAAAUAUAAUUAAAAGACGAGAAGACCCUAUAAAUCUUUAUAUUUUAUUUUUAUUUAAAUUUUUUGGGUUUAUUUUAUUUUUAUAGAUUAAUUUAUUUUGUUGGGGUGAUAGUAAAAUUUAAUAAACUUUUAUUUUUUAAAGAUCAUUUAUUUAUGUUUUUUUGAUCCGUUAUUAGUGAUUAUAAGAUUAAGUUACUUUAGGGAUAACAGCGUAAUUUUUUUGGAGAGUUCAUAUCGAUAAAAAAGUUUGCGACCUCGAUGUUGGAUUAAGAUAUAGUUUUAGGUGUAGCUGCUUAAACGUUAAGUCUGUUCGACUUUUAAAUUCUU